AUGGCUGCAAAGUAUAAAUUCUUAAAAAUCUAAAACAAUUAUCUCCAACCAACUUAGUGUUCAAUUAUAUGGAGUAAGAGUGCAGAGCAACAUCUAAAAGUUUAAUAUCAGUUUGUACGGGCUAUUGGGUCUAGAGCUGCUAUUAAUCUUCUAUAUGAUCUCUGGAUUUCUACUAUACCAUUAGCUAUGACACCUUCAUUUAUUAAUAUAAAUAUUAUUUAUGAACAAUGGA
This 232-nucleotide long non-coding RNA is filed under the name Elaeis guineensis (African oil palm). RNAcentral's name for it is "long non-coding RNA (EGUI_LNC021996)". The record is from RNAcentral. Lineage: Eukaryota; Viridiplantae; Streptophyta; Magnoliopsida; Arecales; Arecaceae.